This 476-nucleotide ribosomal RNA is filed under the name uncultured organism. Its description in RNAcentral is "partial 16S ribosomal RNA". It matches the Rfam family "Bacterial small subunit ribosomal RNA", at positions 332 to 799 of the family's 1533-position model. The record is from RNAcentral.
UACACUCCUGCGGGAGGCAGCAGUGGGGAAUUUUGGACAAUGGGCGAAAGCCUGAUCCAGCCAUGCCGCGUGCAGGAUGAAGGCCUUCGGGUUGUAAACUGCUUUUGUACGGAACGAAACGGCCUUUUCUAAUAAAGAGGGCUAAUGACGGUACCGUAAGAAUAAGCACCGGCUAACUACGUGCCAGCAGCCGCGGUAAUACGUAGGGUGCAAGCGUUAAUCGGAAUUACUGGGCGUAAAGCGUGCGCAGGCGGUUAUGUAAGACAGUUGUGAAAUCCCCGGGCUCAACCUGGGAACUGCAUCUGUGACUGCAUAGCUAGAGUACGGUAGAGGGGGAUGGAAUUCCGCGUGUAGCAGUGAAAUGCGUAGAUAUGCGGAGGAACACCGAUGGCGAAGGCAAUCCCCUGGACCUGUACUGACGCUCAUGCACGAAAGCGUGGGGAGCAAACAGGAUUAGAAACCCUAGUAGUCCCAUG